CUUUCAACAAUGGAUCUCUUGGUUCUGGCAUCGAUGAAGAACGCAGCGAAAUGCGAUAAGUAGUGUGAAUUGCAGAAUUCAGUGAAUCAUCGAAUCUUUGAACGCACAUUGCGGCCAUAGGUAUUCCUUUGGCCAUGCCUGUUCGAGCGUCAUUUACACCCUCAAGCCUAGCUUGGUGUUGGGCGUCUGUCCCGCCGUUCUCGCGCGCGGACUCGCCACAAAGUCAUUGGCGGCGGUCGUGCCGGCCCCCUCGCGCAGCACAUUUGCGCUUCUCGGAGGCCCGGCGGAUCCGCGCUCCAGCAAGACCUUUCACGACUUGACCUCGGAUCAGGUAGGGAUACCCGCUGAACUUAAGCAUAUCAAUAAGCGGAGGAAAAGAAACCAACAGGGAUUGCCCUAGUAACGGCGAGUGAAGCGGCAACAGCUCAAAUUUGAAAUCUGGCCCCUUUGGGGUCCGAGUUGUAAUUUGCAGAGGGUGCUUUGGCGUUGGCGGCGGUCUAAGUUCCUUGGAACAGGACAUCGCAGAGGGUGAGAAUCCCGUAUGUGGUCGCAUGCCUUCGCCGUGUAAAGCCCCUUCGACGAGUCGAGUUGUUUGGGAAU
RNAcentral lists this small RNA (600 nucleotides) under uncultured Periconia. RNAcentral describes it as "eukaryotic LSU rRNA". The stretch from base 318 to 600 matches the Rfam family "Eukaryotic large subunit ribosomal RNA", at positions 1 to 281 of the family's 3401-position model. Lineage: Eukaryota; Fungi; Ascomycota; Sordariomycetes; Microascales; Halosphaeriaceae. The record is from RNAcentral.